AACUAUGCAGUUUCGAAUAAUAGUGCAUACGUAUUAAGAUUGUUGAUUAUCAGUUGAUCCCACUGUUGUAGGAGAGCAUUGGUGGCAGUCAGCUAGGCUCUGCAAAUCAAGUGGGAACUAUAAACUUUCACUUGCAACAGUUGCUGAUUCGGGCAAAAUCGGGUACAUGCUGAUCUGUCUGAAUUUGAGACAAGUGCAAAAAGAUUAGAAAUAAAGUGGGAAAGGAAAGCAAAUCACUUCUACACACAAAAAGACAUUGAUCAGGUCCGGGCCGAGUGGGCAAAGUAUGUCAGCCAAUUUAAACAAAGCUAGUGCGUCGAGAAGAUUCUAAUUUUUGACAUGCAUCAUCUAUAACCCAUAUUAACUAGUUAUGCAGUUGGUCUAAGUAUCUAUUUUAGGCCUGCAAGUACAGUUUAUGAUCAGUAGUAUGAGAUAUCAGUGUUUUUUGGGUUACAUUUGUUGAUCAUGCCAACUGCUAUGGGUUAUUGAACUGAUGUUUAUUAAGUUUAGCUCCAUGAUGGAUGUAUGUAUAGCUGCAGGAACAGAUUGAUCAAAUAUUGGUAUUUUUGUGAAUGGAUUUCAUAUUU
Molecule: long non-coding RNA, 587 nt
Organism: Rosa rugosa (rugosa rose)
Lineage: Eukaryota; Viridiplantae; Streptophyta; Magnoliopsida; Rosales; Rosaceae
Exons: 4
Source: RefSeq, a predicted model, not a curated record